This 21-nucleotide microRNA is filed under the name Macaca fascicularis (crab-eating macaque). RNAcentral describes it as "novel_miR106-3p". The record is from RNAcentral. Lineage: Eukaryota; Metazoa; Chordata; Mammalia; Primates; Cercopithecidae.
UAAUAAGACAUGAGGCUUGAG